This 3076-nucleotide long non-coding RNA is filed under the name Mus musculus (house mouse). RNAcentral describes it as "Pvt1 oncogene". The stretch from base 60 to 216 matches the Rfam family "Pvt1 oncogene conserved region 1". Lineage: Eukaryota; Metazoa; Chordata; Mammalia; Rodentia; Muridae. The record is from RNAcentral.
CGUGACGUCACGGGCCACCCGCCAGCCCCGCGCUCUACCAGGCAGAGCGCGUGUGGCCGCCGAGCACAUGGACCCACUGGUCAAGCGGGCUCGGCAAGGCCAGGAUGAAGAGAAGCUACGAACUUAGCAUUCCCAGAGCCCCCCGAGUGGAUAUCCGCGUGGAAAGGAUGUUGGCAGCCCCGGUGACCUCGGAGUCACGGCUGGAUCCACCCUCUUGUCUGAUUUUCUUAACUCUACUACGGUAAGAAGAUGCCCUCCAUCAGCAGGCCGUGUCUGCUGGGACCUCUCUGGAGACUUCCUGAACCCUGUGGAUUUACAGUAAGAUGCAGUUUCCUGGGGAGUAAUUCUGGUGGAUACAAAUUCCGGAGUAUUACACCUGGCUUGCCUGGAGAUGUUACAAGUAGCUGGAUGGAUUCUUCAGCCUGGAUGCCCACUGAAAACAAGGACCGAAACUAAGAGGAUUGUAUCUCUACCCUUGACUCAAUGAGAAUGUUUGUUGUCAUCUCUCGGGCUACCUGGAGCUCCCUCUAAAAUAGAGCCGAGUUCUGUCACCACAGACAUUGGCAGUGGCACUUGCAUGCCCCUGGCAAGCAGUCUAUCCUGAGGUGGAGGAAGUUGCCCUUGAGUUCUGGCUGGUAACCAGCACAGGGGCUGGGACACUGCCUGAUUGAGGUGGCCAUUGAGAAUUCAAGUGUACCUCUUGGUCCCUGAUGCAGAAAUGAAGUCCCCAGCAUGCUCAAGAAGAGCUUCCUUGGAGGAUGAGAGGCAUGGGAAUCUAAGUAUACCCUUUAAGCGUUCCAGAAGGAUUUUGAGAUCCUUUCCUAAAUCAAAGGUGGAAUAUUUGGGGAUUUGGAAAAUUGAGAUGUGAAGCGUUGACUUAAGAGAUGCCAAGUAACUCAGCAGAUGUCACACAGACGAUAAAUAGCAAAGAUGGAAGUCUUCAUGCCGGAGGCAAUCCUAUAAGACAGCUGAGUUCUGCAGAGCUGGUAGGAGACAGACUUGCUCAGGUGAUAGAUCCAGCCAUGAUACUGACCCUAAGAGAAUGAGACGCUCUGCAGAAGACAGAAGAUUCCUGAAACUGGGAAAGGUGCCUAGAAAUCCUGAUAAGAGUGAAGAAGGAGCUGGCAGAGCAGCCUUCCUCCGCACUAUGAAAGACAUCCAACAGAGAGCAAGUUCCCACCUCACUUCCAGCUUGACUCCUUUUUAUCUCCUAACUGUGGUCUGUGAUGUCUUCAGCAAUGGUAUUAACUAGUUCUGGGUACCUGGAGGCACAGCAGCCAUGUUGAACCUAUGAGGUGAUGAAAAACCAUGCAACUAGAAACCAGAAUGGAAGAAAAGAAGAAGCUGGAUCCUUGACUGAAUUGUCGAUGGGGGAUAGUCCAUCAUCCCAGGGCUAAGACCACCUCCAGAUUUCUUGUUUGGUGAAACAAGUCCUGAUUGUUUACAUUCCCUCGUGUUGAGCUGUCUCUUGCUUGUAGCUGAAAGCAUUUCUAAUAGAUAUUCAGAUUAUCAGCCUUAGCUCCAAGCUAGAAUACUCUAUGGGACCUUAGCUUCUCCAUGAAUUCCUUUGCUCAUCUGUGUAAUGCUCAAUAAAUGUAAAUUGAACCCUGAAUGAGGGACAAUGACACUAUUGAAGUCAUGAUUGUCAAUCUUAUUAACGGACUAACUACUUAACAAAAAGGUUGGAACACUGCCUGACGCACAGUAAGCGGCUGGGGAAAGGGUUUGCCAAAUGGAGUGACAAGAAAACAGUCAUGUUUAUAGGCUUUCUUUUACAUCUUGAUCCAUCUUCAAGCCUCUGUGGUCUUUAAGCAGAACCUUGACCCCUUCAGUACUGGGGCUCCUGGAGCAUGACACGCCCCCUAAACUCUUGUCUCAAAACACCCACUCUAGCAGUUUCUUUUUGACAAAAAAAAAGCCUUCUUAGUGAAUGCUGGCUUGUGAAAAAGAAGGGGCUGUGAUCAUCAAAUCGUGUUAGUAGAUGACCAAAAUACCCAAAGCAAUUCAUGCAAAUAGAUUCAAGUCUCUCUGGGCAAGCCUUCCUGAAGGCUCUAGAAUUUCUGAAGCUCAUUUUUGAAAGGGUCUUUCCAUAUGGUGGCCUUUUUCUUUUUUGCACCUCCUCCCUUCUUUCUCAUCAGAGCUAAAGGGAUGCUCAGACUCUCUGUCCUUUCUGUGUAGUGAGGGACCAGGCUGCUGGGCGAGUGUGAAGGAGCGAGUGUGAUUUGGGAUAUUCUUUUCUGGUAUGGCAAUGGCCAGCCUUUAGAGAGGUCAUUUGAAGUUGGCCAACAAGUAGACAUUAUUUCAAAAUAGUUCUUGAUCAUUAAAGAACCAACCAGUAUGUCUUAAAAACAAACAAACCAAUCUUUUGGAAAGUUUCUGCUGAAUGUGUGCCCUUCCGACUCACUUCUUAUCCUUUCUGUCAGAAACACCCCAGAAAAGGGGGUCUUGCCUUUGAACCACUCUGCUACUUUAAUCUUCCUGCUUCUGUCUGACCUACCUUCCUUCUUUCAGUAGCCAGGAUCCUUUCAGAGUGAGCUCCAAAAGGUGGGGAUUCUCCAGCCACGAGUGCCCUCUGAAAUUCUAUCUUACUUAGAAUAAAAUAUCUAGAUUUAUACAGUGUCCCCUUGUAUGGGUGGUGGCUUUUUUUUUUUUUCUAUCAUUUUCCUGCUUGUUCACACCACUCUCUCCCUGGCCUUCUUAUGUCACAGAUUUCCUGAGUACACUCUGGCCUCAGUCUUUCCAUGAAGUAACUCUCCUUUCUAGAACAUUCUUGCCUGCAUAACUAUCUGCUUCUGUCCUCACUGUAUUCUGAUCUGUAUUUCUAUGUCAAUUUCCAGACAGGCAUUCUCUGCCCAUCCUCUAAAGUGUGCCCCCUGUCUUCUUUGCUGUUACCUGUAUGCCCUAAGUCUAAGUCACUGACCUUAUUGUAGACUAAAUUUGUUAGCAUUUCUUUCCAGGAUGCAAGCCUAGUGAUGAAGGAGUCAUUGUUCCAUUGUCAGAAUAGCUACAGAAUCCAGCCUGUUCUGCCCUGGAUGCUUUAUUAAGUAAUGAAGCUCAAUAAAACAAUUUGACCAAG